GGCCUAUUGGUGAAAUGGUUAACACACCGCCCUCUCAAGGCGGCAUUCAUGGGUUCAAAUCCCAUAUGGGUCACCA
Molecule: transfer RNA, 76 nt
Filed under: Mycoplasmatota bacterium
Lineage: Bacteria; Bacillati; Mycoplasmatota
Description: Tenericutes bacterium (anaerobic digester metagenome) tRNA-Glu
Rfam family: tRNA
About the family: Transfer RNA (tRNA) molecules are approximately 80 nucleotides in length. Their secondary structure includes four short double-helical elements and three loops (D, anti-codon, and T loops).
Source: RNAcentral